CCCGGAAGCACGGCCCCGGAAGCGGAGCCAUGGCGGCGGUGGCGGCAGCGCUGCUGCUGCUGCUGGCGGCGGCACUGGUGGGAGGCGACGACUCGGACUGGGUGCGGCUGCCCAGCAAGUGCGAGGGCUUGGAACCUGUGUCAGCGCACAGUGCUAGCCGCGGGCAGCAUCUGGCUAACUGGACCCAGCAGUGAGCGCUUCUAGCAUGUACUGGGGACGCUGCAGCAGGUGUGAUGUGGAGAGGGACGUCCUCGAGGCCCAAGUCCAGAGGGGAUGCAGGAAGGAGCAGCUGAGAAAUGUCUGUGGUCAUCUCCAGCCCUUGGUGCCAUCAGAGAAAGGAAAGUGCAGGAGGUGCGCAGGGUGUCUCGGCACGUGCAUGGCAGCCCUAGAGAAGCCACCUCGCUCUUUUCCUGCCUGUGGUGCAUCUCUUCGCUCACAUCAUUGCCUGGGAGAAGAUGCGGCGGCUUGUCGCUCUCAGACACUUCCUGCUGGGGCUUGGUCCUUCUCCCAAAGCCGGGAUUGAGGAAGAGGUGGCUCCGAGCAAACAGGAGCCCGCAGCACAGGACAAAGCUUUCUCCAGCUUCCUGGUACCCUGGCUUCGGGGGAGGAAGAGCCACGCUGUGCCUGGCUUCCAUCCAUCCAUCUCAUCCAUCCCACUUCCACUUGUAAACCUCUGAAAUAUUUCUCUCCUGCUCUCUGUUUCUAUAGCUCUGUUGGACUUUUUGUUACAGAAGAAAUAAAGCUUUUGUUUCCUUUU
Molecule: long non-coding RNA, 757 nt
Organism: Chroicocephalus ridibundus (black-headed gull)
Lineage: Eukaryota; Metazoa; Chordata; Aves; Charadriiformes; Laridae
Exons: 2
Source: RefSeq, a predicted model, not a curated record